Long non-coding RNA from Xenia sp. Carnegie-2017, 1280 nucleotides. RefSeq lists it as uncharacterized. The record is from RefSeq and is a predicted model, not a curated record. NCBI's taxonomy places the organism in Eukaryota, Metazoa, Cnidaria, Anthozoa, Malacalcyonacea, Xeniidae. The transcript is spliced from 2 exons.
UGUAAUUUAGCUGUUGCUGAACGCUUAGUGAUUUUGCUCUGCGUGUAGCAACAUAGCGUCAAAAUAAUCCAAAUUUUCUUGCAUUAUAAAGAAGCUUUGUCAUUUUCCUGGUAGGAACAAGCCAGUCCUUGCUGUAGUCAAAUUUCAAGUGGUAAUACAAUUAAGAAGUUCUGUACUUGACAUAUUGUUCAAUGUGUAUAUAGAAGAAUCCUUUUUGACAAAUGGCAUCUUGGCGACGACGCCGAUUCAUGAGUUUGCAAGAAAACUACGAAAGUGAUUCGGUUGCGGCAGGUUCUCAAUUUGUUGUAAAAGUUAUCGGUUCCACAAGUAUUGAUAAAGAGUCUGAUAACGCCUCUUCCAUUACAGACAGGAAUUUCACUAAGAUAUAUUCCGACUUAAUGCUGCUUUUCUCCAGCGAGAACGGCAGUAAGCUUAGAAUGGUGAUCGAUUUAUGUGGUGCAGUGCUGUAUAACAAAGAAGGUCAAGUUUUAAAAAGUUUCCGGAUCUCAAAUAUCCGUGAUAUCGUAUAUUCUACAACAAGAGAGGAGUUCGCUCGGUACUUCAUCAUGAUUGCUCGCGAGCAAAACGAACUGAAUGUCAAGGCUCAUAUAUUGCUUUGUGAAGAUAAGCAAAAAGCAAAACUGCUGUAUGAAACAUUUGAAAAGUUGUUUGGAUUAUCUGCUGAAGAGAAAAAACGUCGAGAGACUGGGAAAGAAAAUAUUUUAAAGACCACAAGAUCAACUCACACGGACAACGCAAACAUCAAACGUCAUUCUGUAUCAGUCGAUGGUCGAUUGCCUAACCUUCGACAGCAAGUUUCAUCGCAACAAAAUGUGCGAAAUAAUGGAACAACACCUAGAAUGUUUACUAAUUUGGUCAGUAAAAUGUCAAUAAUUGAGCCUGAUUUAGAUGACAGUUUUACCGAGCUUGCUCGUUCGCGUAGCUCAUUUAGUAAAUAGAAAAGACAAAUAUCAUCAAAUGGUAACUUAAAUUUCAAACUAAAACCUUUUCACAUAAAAAAGGUAUACAAUAUUGGAAUGGUCAUAUGGACGUAUAUUGUUGAAGAAGCUUAUUCAUGUAUUUCACUUGAAGAUACAAUAACUCAGCAUAUACUUUAAAGUAAAUUAAUUUUGCACCAGUAUCGUUCUUCAAGACAAGUCAACUAAACUAUUUUUGCACGAGUAUAUAUGGUCCUUGACAGCAAGUCUAGCAAUUUCAAUUAACUUUCCUUUGCACGAGUAUAUAGUUUUCGACAAUAAAUUCAAAACCUGUGAGCCCAA